Molecule: ribosomal RNA, 3045 nt
Filed under: metagenomes
Description: bacterial LSU rRNA
Rfam family: Bacterial large subunit ribosomal RNA (bases 4-2325)
Source: RNAcentral
UCAAAUGAAGAAAAGCUUACGGUGGAUACCUAGGCACCUAGAGACGAUGAAGGGCGUGGAAACCAACGAAAUGCUUCGAGGAGCUGGAAACAAGCUAUGAUUCGAAGAUUCCCGAAUAGGGCAACCUUGUAUACUACCUAUUGAAUUCAUAGAUAGGAAAGAGACAACCCAGUGAACUGAAACAUCUUAGUAGCUGGAGGAAAAGAAAGCAAACGCGAUUCCCUUAGUAGCGGCGAGCGAAAUGGGAACAGCCUAAACCGAUUCGAUUUUGUUGAGUUGGGGUUGUGGGAAGAAAGUUUUUAAGUCCAAGACACCAAAGGUGUCAGGUUUUCCCCCCCGGGGGAAACAAAGGUUUUUACAAAGUAUAGACCUCGCUCUUAAAGGGCAAGGUUUUUGGCUAGUUUAAAUCGUUACUAAAUUUAGUUUUUGUUGACUUAAAGAGAUAGUUUACUUAACUAGGUGAAGCAGCUGAAUCCUGCACCAUAGAUGGUGAAAGUCCAGUAAUCGAAAGUUAAGUGAUAUUUUUAUUUCUUAUCCCGAGUAGCAUGGGGCACGUGAAAUCCCGUGUGAAUCAGCGAGGACCACCUCGUAAGGCUAAAUACUCCUAGGUGACCGAUAGUGAAAUAGUACCGCGAGGGAAAGGUGAAAAAGAACCCCUAUAGGGGAGUGAAAUAGAACAUGAAACCGUAAGCUGUCAAGCAGUGGGAGGGCUCAAAGCCUGACCGCGUGCCUGUUGAAGAAUGAGCCGGCGACUUAUAGGGAGUGGCGUGGUUAAAGAAAAACAUCUGAAGCCAAAGCGAAAGCAAGUCUUAAUAGGGCGAUACUGUCACUUCUUAUGGACCCGAACCCGGGUGAUCUAACCAUGGCCAGGAUGAAGCUUGGGUAAAACCAAGUGGAGGUCCGAACCGACCGAUGUUGAAAAAUCGGCGGAUGAGCUGUGGUUAGGGGUGAAAUGCCAAUCGAACUCGGAGCUAGCUGGUUCUCCCCGAAAUGCGUUGAGGCGCAGCGGUUGAUGAAUUGGGCUAUCUAGGGGUAAAGCACUGUUUCGGUACGGGCUGCGAGAGCGGUACCAAAUCGUAGCAAACUAAGAAUACUAGAUAUGCUUUCCAUCAGCCAGUGAGACGGUGGGGGAUAAGCUUCAUCGUCGAGAGGGAAACAGCCCAGAUCACCAGCUAAGGCCCCUAAAUGGCCGCUAAGUGGUAAAGGAGGUAAGAAUGCUGAAACAACCAGGAGGUUUGCUUAGAAGCAGCCACCCUUAAAAGAGUGCGUAAUAGCUCACUGGUGGAGCGUUCUUGCGCCGAAAAUGAACGGGACUAAGCGGUCUGCCGAAGCUGUGGGAUUUUUAUAUUAAAUUUUUCGUAGAAGACUUUUUUUCUACGCUACGCACAUAAUUAUAUUAUUUGUUUAUUGUGCUAAAUUUAAAGUUGAAAAUCGGUAGGGGAGCGUUCCGCUCUAGGGUGAAGCAUAAACGAAAGUUAAUGUGGACAAAGCGGAAGUGAGAAUGUCGGCUUGAGUAACGCAAACAUUGGUGAGAAUCCAAUGCCCCGAAAACCUAAGGGUUCCUCCACUAGGCUCGUCCAUGGAGGGUUAGUCAGGACCUAAGGCAAGGCCGAAAGGCGUAGUCGAUGGAAAACAGGUUAAUAUUCCUGUACUAGUUUUUGAUUGGUACCGAGGGACGAAGAAAGCAAAGGUUAAUCAAUAUUGGAUUUUUGGUGGAAACGUUCGAGGUGUUGAGAGGUAGAAUAAAAACUAACCUUGAGCUAAGACGUGAUACGGUUUCAUUCCCUAGUUAAUAAGCUACGCUUAUCUACCAUAGUGAAAUUUAACUAAUUGUUAUACUUCCUAGAAAAGCUCGAACUACUAAUAAUUAAAAAUUACCUGUACCCCAAACCGACACAGGUAGGUGGGUAGAGUAUACCUAGGGGCGCGAGAUAACUCUCUCUAAGGAACUCGGCAAAAUGGCCCCGUAACUUCGGGAGAAGGGGUGCCUCUAGAAAUAGAGGCCGCAGUGACCAGGCCCAGGCGACUGUUUACCAAAAACACAGGUCUCCGCUAAGUCGCAAGACAAUAUAUGGGGGCUGACGCCUGCCCAGUGCCGGAAGGUGAAGGAAGUUGGUUAUUUUAUUCCUUGGAAUAAGAAAAGCUGACAACCGAAGCCCCGGUGAACGGCGGCCGUAACUAUAGACUUUUGUAGUUAUAAAAUUUAGCCAAAUGCUGGAAAUUCUCGAUGAAUCUUUACUACUCGUUUAAAAUCAAAUAAGCACGGAACAGACAGGGUACUGUCUUUCAGCUCUGGCACUUUAUCUACACUUGCAACUUCGUUGCUAGUAGGGUUAACAAACUAUGUUUGUUUACUUCUUAGGGUUGAGUGACUUAAGGAAACAUAACAGUGAAAAUGUAAAGAGAAGAGGCAAUCAGCAGGAAAGACUUUUAUGGAAAAUAAAGCAAUAAGUGUUAAACAAGUUCCACCAGAUAAAGGACAUUACAUUGCCGGAUUCGUUGAUGGAGAAGGAAGCUUCUACGUUAGUGCAAGAAAAAGGGAUGAUUAUCGUUCCAAAUGGAGAAUGACCGCACACUUUAAUGUUAGUAAUAACGAUCAUAAGGUACUUGAAAUUUGUAAGAAGUAUUUAGGCUGUGGGAUAAUUAGACAAUCUCGUUUAGGGUUUUACACCUUAGAGGUAGAGAAUUUAAAUACUCUUAACAACUUUAUUAUUCCUUUCUUUAGACGAUUUGGCUUUUUAUCAAAUAAAAAAACAAAAGAAUUUUCCACUUUUCGGAAAAUAGUCGCUCUUAUAGAAGCACCAAUACAAACUAAAGCACAAUUACAACUUUUUUUUUCACUUCGAAAAGAACUUAAUACGUUAAGAAAAGGUGGUAGAGCAACCAAUACUGAUGCAGUUAUUUUACAAAGCUUCAUAUUUCACGAAGAAUCCUCAGAGACUAUACGCUAGACGACUAGUUUUACUAGUUGAUGAUAUAGUCCGAUCUUUAUGGUGACAUAAAGGCUUUCACUAAAGUUCUUUAUUAUAGACGUUGUUUAUAAUU